Molecule: ribosomal RNA, 289 nt
Filed under: Mesorhizobium sp.
Lineage: Bacteria; Pseudomonadati; Pseudomonadota; Alphaproteobacteria; Hyphomicrobiales; Phyllobacteriaceae
Description: partial 16S ribosomal RNA
Rfam family: Bacterial small subunit ribosomal RNA
Source: RNAcentral
UUAUGGUGGGCACUCUAAGGAGACUGCCGGUGACAAACCGGAGGAAGGUGGGGAUGACGUCAAGUCAUCAUGGCCCUUACGGCCUGGGCUACACACGUGCUACAAUGGUCGGUACAGAGGGUUGCCAAGCCGCGAGGUGGAGCUAAUCCCACAAAACCGAUCGUAGUCCGGAUCGCAGUCUGCAACUCGACUGCGUGAAGUCGGAAUCGCUAGUAAUCGCGAAUCAGAAUGUCGCGGUGAAUACGUUCCCGGGCCUUGUACACACCGCCCGUCACACCAUGGGAGUGGG